GACGAACGCUGGCGGCGUGCUUAACACAUGCAAGUCGAACGAAAAUACCAAGCUUGCUUGGUUGAUUAGUGGCGAACGGGUGAGUAACACGUGAGUAACCUGCCCCUUACUUUCCUGGAUAACUGCUCGAAAGGGUAGCUAAUACGGGAUAUUCUGACCAGCCUGCAUGGGUUGGUUUGGAAAGGUUGUUUUUCUGGUAAGGGAUGGGCUCGCGGCCUAUCAGCUUGUUGGUGGGGUGAUGGCCUACCAAGGCUUUGACGGGUAGCCGGCCUGAGAGGGUGGACGGUCACACUGGGACUGAGUUACGGCCCAGACUCCUACGGGAGGCAGCAGUGGGGAAUAUUGCACAAUGGGCGCAAGCCUGAUGCAGCGACGCCGCGUGAGGGAUGAAGGCCUUCGGGUUGUAAACCUCUUUCGUCAGGGAACAAGGCACUGCUUUUUUGGUGGUGUUGAGGGUACCUGGAUAAGAAGCGCCGGCUAACUACGUG
This 488-nucleotide ribosomal RNA is filed under the name uncultured bacterium. Its description in RNAcentral is "partial 16S ribosomal RNA". It matches the Rfam family "Bacterial small subunit ribosomal RNA", at positions 28 to 507 of the family's 1533-position model. The record is from RNAcentral.